RNAcentral lists this ribosomal RNA (495 nucleotides) under Trifolium pratense (red clover). RNAcentral's name for it is "eukaryotic LSU rRNA". The stretch from base 329 to 495 matches the Rfam family "Eukaryotic large subunit ribosomal RNA", at positions 1 to 169 of the family's 3401-position model. The record is from RNAcentral. Lineage: Eukaryota; Viridiplantae; Streptophyta; Magnoliopsida; Fabales; Fabaceae.
UUUUAUGCGAUUAAUGGUGUGAAUUGCAGAAUCCCGUGACCCAUCGAGUCUUUGAACGCAAGUUGCGCCUGAUGCCAUUAGGUUGAGGGCACGUCUGCCUGGGCGUCACAUAUCGAAGCCUCUUGCCAAUUUCCUAUUGAUUGGUAUUGUGCAAGAUGAUGUUGGCCUCCCGUGAGCACCAUCGCCUCAUGGUUGGUUGAAAAUCGAGACCUUGGUAGAGUGUGCCAUGAUAAAUGGUGCAUGUGUUAAGCACGAGACCAAACAAUCAUGUGCUGCUCUAUUGAAUUUAGCCUCUUUUACCCACAUGCGUGUCUAAACGCUCGUGAUGAGACCUCAGGUCAGGCGGGGCUACCCGCUGAAUUUAAGCAUAUCAAUAAGCGGAGGAAAAGAAACUAACAAGGAUUCCCUUAGUAACGGCGAGCGAACCGGGAUAAGCCCACCAUGAGAAUCGGUCGCCCUCUGCGUUCUAAUUGUAGUUGGGGAGAAACGUCACAA